UGAGUACGAGAUGCUACGGCAUCGAAGCAGUCUAUGUCAUACUUCCAAGAAAAGCUUGCACUGUCAUAAACAAAGAAUGCCUGUACCAUAACCGACACAGGUGGGUAGGUAGAGUAUACUAAGGGGCGCGAGAUAACUCUCUCUAAGGAACUCGGCAAAAUGACUCCGUAACUUCGGGAGAAGGAGUGCCUUAUUUUUAUAAGGUUGCAAUAACAAGAUCCAAGCAACUGUUUACCAAAAACACAGGUCUCCGCUAAGUCGUAAGACGAUGUAUGGGGGCUGACGCCUGCCCAGUGCCAGAAGGUUAAAGAAGUUGGUUAGUUUCGGCGAAGCUGAUGACUGAAGCCCUGGUGAACGGCGGCCGUAACUAUAACGGUCCUAAGGUAGCGAAAUUCCUUGUCGGGUAAGUUCCGACCCGCACGAAAGGCAUAAUGAUUUGGAUACUGUCUCGGAGAGGGGCUCGGUGAAAUAGACUUGUCUGUGAAGAUGCGGACUACCUGCACCUGGACAGAAAGACCCUAUGAAGCUUUACUGUAACUUGAGAUUGAAAUUGGACUUUAUUUGCGCAGUAUAGGUGGGAGACGUUGAGAAUAUUCUUGCGGGAAUAUUGGAGUCAUCAGUGAGAUACCACUCUUGUAAUGUUAGAUUUCUAACUUUGUAUCAUUAUCUGGUCAAAGGACAGUUUCAGGCGGGCAGUUUGACUGGGGCGGUCGCCUCCCAAACGGUAACGGAGGCGCACAAAGGUUUCCUCUGAACGUGUAGAAAUCGUAUCUAGAGUGUAAAGGCAUAAGGAAGCUUGACUGUGAGACCUACAAGUCGAGCAGGGACGAAAGUCGGUCUUAGUGAUCUGACGGUGCUGAGUGGAAAGGCCGUCACUCAACGGAUAAAAGUUACUCUAAGGAUAACAGGCUGAUCUCCCCCAAGAGUUCACAUCGACGGGGAGGUUUGGCACCUCGAUGUCGGCUCAUCGCAUCCUGGGGCGGUAGUACGUCCCAAGGGUUGGGCUGUUCGCCCAUGAAAGCGGUACGCGAGCUGGGUUCAGAACGUCGUGAGACAGUUCGGUCCAUAUCCGGUGUAGGCGUUAGAAUAUUGAGAGGAGCCUUCUUUAGUACGAGAGGACCGAGAAGGACAUACCUCUGGUGUACCAGUUAUCGUGCCAACGGUAAACGCUGGGUAGCUAUGUAUGGAGUGGAUAACCGCUGAAAGCAUCUAAGUGGGAAGCCCACCUCAAGAUAAG
This 1237-nucleotide ribosomal RNA is filed under the name metagenome. RNAcentral's name for it is "bacterial LSU rRNA". It matches the Rfam family "Bacterial large subunit ribosomal RNA", at positions 1564 to 2808 of the family's 2925-position model. The record is from RNAcentral.